ACUGGAAAAUGGUCUGAGUCGCCACCCACCGUCCUAACCCUAGUCUUAGCUCCAUCGUACAUGUCCUUAAUUACUCUGAUGUAGGCUUCUGGUACACUCUUCGCCUCCAAGAACCUCCAUAGCACCUCCCCAGGGACCUUGUCAUACGCCUUCUCCAGGUCGAUAAGCACCAUGUGCAUGUCCUUUUUCUUAUUCCUGAACUGCUCCACCAGCCUCCUGACAAGGUGGAUAGCUUCUGUAGUGGAGCGAUCCGGCAUGAAAC
RNAcentral lists this long non-coding RNA (262 nucleotides) under Nicotiana benthamiana. RNAcentral describes it as "long non-coding RNA (NBEN_LNC004666)". The record is from RNAcentral. Lineage: Eukaryota; Viridiplantae; Streptophyta; Magnoliopsida; Solanales; Solanaceae.